CACCCCCUCCCUGCCAAUGCCACCGCCCAACAACGCGAGCUCGAUGCCCAUCUCGUGCUCUGGAUAUACGCCACCCUCGCCGACAACCUUGUUGAUCAUGUCGUCGGCGCCACCACCACCUAUGAUCUCUGGAAUCGCAUCCGGGAUUACUUCCUCGCGAACAGGGCGGCUCGGUACAUGAUGCUCAACACGCAGUACCGCAACCUCAAGCAAGGGGACCUCUCCGUCACCGACUACGCCCGCCGCAUGAAGCUGAUCACCGUCGGGCUCGCCGACAUCGACCACGCCGUCACGGAGGUGGAUCUCACCACCCAGUUUCUCCACGACAUCGACAAACGACUCGACACCAUCCGCGUUGUCCUCGGGGACACCGUUCCUCUGCCGCCGUUCGAAAUGGUGUUCUCUCGUUUGAAGCUUGCCGAGGAGAACCUCGCCCAGCGCGGGGCCGCUGAGCCGGUCACCAUCCUUGCUGUCACUAGCGGCGGCGGCCCUGCUGGCCACCCUUCCGGUCCUGGCGGCUCCUCCAACACUCGCGCUGGUGACCGCGUGAUCGCCCCGACCGGGGCGCUGAUCGUGGCAACGGCUCCCAGGCUCGCGGAUCUGGCAACCGCAACGAGGGCGGCGACCGCGGCGGCCGCGGUCGUGGGCGCAGGCGCGGGCGCGGUCGGGGACGUGGUGAUCAGGGUGGUCGCGGUCACCUGCCGCCCAUGUCCUACAACCCGUACAUGGGAUUCUUCGCACCCUACGGCAUGGCGCUGCCGAACCCGCGCCUCGGUUGGGUUCCUCCCAACAGUGCCGGUGUGCUCGGCCCGCGCCCCGGGUCGCAUGCCCAGGCGUACCAGAUGCACCUCUCCGGCUACCCCGCGCCGCCCCGCCCCAGCCUCCUUCCUGGGAUCACCUUGCCAUGCUCCAGGCCGCCUACAACGCCCAAGGCUACCCCAACAGCAGCUCUGCUCCUCAUGA
This 963-nucleotide ribosomal RNA is filed under the name Triticum aestivum (bread wheat). Its description in RNAcentral is "partial small subunit ribosomal RNA". Lineage: Eukaryota; Viridiplantae; Streptophyta; Magnoliopsida; Poales; Poaceae. The record is from RNAcentral.